Molecule: ribosomal RNA, 522 nt
Filed under: uncultured Chitinophagaceae bacterium
Lineage: Bacteria; Pseudomonadati; Bacteroidota; Chitinophagia; Chitinophagales; Chitinophagaceae
Description: bacterial SSU rRNA
Rfam family: Bacterial small subunit ribosomal RNA
Source: RNAcentral
AGAGUUUGAUUAUGGCUCAGGAUGAACGCUAGCGGCAGGCUUAAUACAUGCAAGUCGAGGGGCAGCAUGACUGUAGCAAUACAGUUGAUGGCGACCGGCAAACGGGUGCGGAACACGUACAGAACCUUCCUUCGAGCGGGGAAUAGCCCAGAGAAAUUUGGAUUAAUACCCCAUAGCAUAUUGAAGUGGCAUCACUUUGAUAUUAAAGAUUUAUCACUUGAAGAUGGCUGUGCGGCUGAUUAGGUAGUUGGCGGGGUAACGGCCCACCAAGCCUGCGAUCAGUAACUGGUGUGAGAGCACGACCAGUCACACGGGCACUGAGACACGGGCCCGACUCCUACGGGAGGCAGCAGUAAGGAAUAUUGCGCAAUGGCCGAAAGGCUGACGCAGCGACGCCGCGUGAGGGAUGAAGUCCGUUAGGAUGUAAACCUCUUUUGCAGGGGAUGAAAAACCGCUUUCGGGCGGGAUUGACCGUACCCUGCGAAUAAGGAUCGGCCAACUACGUGCCAGCCGCCGCGGUAA